GCUUUCAGAUACUUAAAUGGAAUACACUUUUCAUUGGAGGUAGUGCAAAAUUCGAGACACAAGGAUUGUAAGUUUUGACAUCUGGUUCAACAAGAAAUCUACUGGAGGAACUCGGUGCUCCAGUGUGGAGUGAUGUGCCAAUGAAAUGGUUUCUGCUGUGGACCUGUUGUGCUGAUAGGCAAACUACACUGGAUCAAGUCACCUCUCAGGCACCAUAUACAGUCGGCCCUCCUUAUCCACGAGUUCCGCAUGCGUGAAUUCAACCAACCGCGAAUCGAGAAAACCCGG
This is a long non-coding RNA of Hypanus sabinus (Atlantic stingray), 288 nucleotides long. RefSeq lists it as uncharacterized. NCBI's taxonomy places the organism in Eukaryota, Metazoa, Chordata, Chondrichthyes, Myliobatiformes, Dasyatidae. The transcript has 3 exons. The record is from RefSeq and is a predicted model, not a curated record.